AUGGAUCCCGCCCUCAAAUCGUACCUCAACAAGCUCGCGGAGACCUUGAUGAAGGCCAACAAGGACACCUGGGCAGACAUGAAGGAGCUCGCGGAGUGGAUCGACCACCAGUCCACGCAGGUGGACGCUCUCACCGCGUGGAAGCCGGACCUCGAAGCCCGCCUCUCCAAGCUCCAGGAGACGGUGGGCAUACUCCAGAGCAGACGGCCUUCUGCAGCGACCGCAUCCACUGGUGGAUCGAAGGGGAUGGAUCUCCCUGAUCUGUCACCCAACGACGCGAUCCAUGGGCCCGAUGGCCACAGCAAGUCGCUUCAACCAUGGGGUGGGUUGUCGGCGGGCGCCGUCCCGCCGGUGACCUCUCCGGCCAAUGGUACGCUAAAUUUCCACACACCCAUCAAUUACCAGGUGUCUGAUCCAUCCCUAGGAUCUAGUUUCCCUUCGGGUCAUCUUAUCACGGGGCUAGGCCAGGCUUCCCCAUCACUCAUGUUUCCCCAGUUCUCCGGUGACAACCCAAAGAUAUGGAAAACUAUGUGUGAGCAGUACUUUGCCAUGUUCCAAAUUCAUGACACUUAUUUCGUUCCUAUGGCCACCAUGCACUUCACUGAUCCAGCAGCCAUUUGGCUACAGUCAGUUCAGGGAAAACUUGCGGGUCUCGAUUGGGAAGCAUUAUGUACCUUGCUAUGCACUCGAUUUGGACGCGACGGGCAUCAAUUACUUAUUCGUCAGUUUUAUGCUCUGCGUCAAACUAGUUCUAUGUCUGAUUACAUUGAGCAAUUUGAAAACCUCAUGAACCAUCUUAUCUCCUAUUCUGAUGUUGUCCACCCACUUUAUUUUCUGACGAGGUUCAUUGAGGGAUUGCACACGGAUAUCCACACUAUGGUGAUGGUACAAUGA
Molecule: ribosomal RNA, 894 nt
Filed under: Triticum aestivum (bread wheat)
Lineage: Eukaryota; Viridiplantae; Streptophyta; Magnoliopsida; Poales; Poaceae
Description: partial small subunit ribosomal RNA
Source: RNAcentral